AACAUCGUUAAAGGUACAGUGUGCAGGAUUUGUCAGCAUCUAGUGGUGUGGUUGCAGAUUGCAAGCGACUGAAUACCCCUCCGCUCACUCCUCCCUUUCCAAGACUGCGGUAGCGUGAGCCGGCGAGUGCAAAACUGCGGUAACG
This is a long non-coding RNA of Sebastes umbrosus (honeycomb rockfish), 145 nucleotides long. RefSeq lists it as uncharacterized. The record is from RefSeq and is a predicted model, not a curated record. The transcript is spliced from 3 exons. NCBI's taxonomy places the organism in Eukaryota, Metazoa, Chordata, Actinopteri, Perciformes, Sebastidae.